Molecule: small RNA, 350 nt
Filed under: Drosophila ananassae
Lineage: Eukaryota; Metazoa; Arthropoda; Insecta; Diptera; Drosophilidae
Description: GF28166
Source: RNAcentral
UCCUUUCCUUUAUUAGUGAUGAUAAAAAGGUCAUGGGAUUGGUGCCUUUCAUUUGGAAUUUUACUUCUAUGGCCCCUAUACCAUAAAUUGUAUAUCAUAAUUCUAAUUGUCUGCCAAAAACCGAUUUUAAAAUGUAUGAUACCUUUAACUUUCACCUGGCUUGCGAUCGGUCACAUCGUUUGCCUUUAUCUUCUGUUGAAUGCCACUCGAGCCCUCAACUGGUACCAAUUUCCAACACAAACGGAAAACUCCCUAGGCAAAAUUUACAAAUUAUAUUAUGAUCGAGACGAUAUGUGGUGGAUUUUUGUUUCCUUUGCCUUUACCUGGUUUAGUUUCUCGCUCCAAAUAGC